Molecule: small nucleolar RNA, 133 nt
Organism: Numida meleagris (helmeted guineafowl)
Lineage: Eukaryota; Metazoa; Chordata; Aves; Galliformes; Numididae
Source: Ensembl
AAUCCCAUUUAUUUACUUCCAUGCUAUCUCAGUGGCAUGAGUAGUUAUACGCGUGGGAAAGAGUAUGCAAGUCCAUUGCAAAUGAGAGGUGGAAGUAGCAGUAUUUCAUCUUGUCUGCUGGGGCUGGACAACU